This 1546-nucleotide long non-coding RNA is filed under the name Gossypium barbadense (sea-island cotton). RNAcentral describes it as "long non-coding RNA (GBAR_LNC012384)". Lineage: Eukaryota; Viridiplantae; Streptophyta; Magnoliopsida; Malvales; Malvaceae. The record is from RNAcentral.
AAAAUAUCAGCAAAAGAGGGGUUUUUGAAGCUUUGAAAUUUCAGCAACUUAUUACCUCAACAAGUAAGUGAUUCCCAUGUCCUUAGUUAAUAAUUUUUGCACUUUUGAGACCCUUGAAGCAUAAGCUUUCAAAUGAGGGGUCUAUUUUGCAAAAUGAUUGAGAGUUUAGGGUUUUUCCAUGAAAGGAUUUGUGAUAUUUGCUAAGUUUUUAUGGAAGAAUAUGAGUCCUAGUUGUGACAUAAACAACUUUUGUGAAAGGUAUUAGCAUGAAAACACCUAAAGGGACUAUUUUGUGUAAGUUGCAAAAUAGGUGAUAUGAGUGUGAAAUAGUGAGAUUUUGGGAUUGCUACAGCAGUAAAAAGAGUUUAAAUAGGCUUGAAAUACAAAUUAAUUUAUAUAAAAAUUGAUUUUCCAGCAUAGGGGUAAAAUGGUCAUUUUGCCAAAGUUUAGGGGCAAAAUGGUCAUUUUUCCAAAGAUGUGAAUUUAUGAUUGCCUAAUUGUAAUUAGUGGUUAAAUGAGUGCAUUUUGUUAUUAUAGAUCAAGACUUGUCAAAACCGAACCUAGACCAGGGCAAAGCCAAGCAAUCCAAGAAAACAGACUAGUCAAGUAUAUUUUGUAGAUUGAGGUAAGUUGUAUGUAAAUAAUACGACUACAUUGUUAAUGUAUGUAAUCGAAUUGUCAUUGAAUUGAUAUAGUAUGAAUUGCUAGAUUGUGAACUGAGAUUGUAUAUUAAUGAUUGAGAUAGUGGAAUGGUCUAGUUGAGACCCUAGGAAACAAACCGGAUAUUUAUGCCAUAACGUUCAGAUUUCUUGUGUGCCAGUGUAAGACAUGCCUGGGUCAUGCAUCAGCCACAUUAUGAGUGCCAGUAUAAGACCAUGUCUAGGACAUGGCAUCGGCAUAGAGACGAGUGCCAGUGUAAGACAUGUCUGGGACAUGCAUCGGCCUCGUUAUGAUAGCCAGUGUAAGACGUGUCUGGAACACGCAUCGGCUAAGAGUUGUGCUAGUGUAAGACAUGUCUGGGACAUGCAUCAGCACGUAUAUACAAGAGCUAGUAUAAGACCAUGCCUGGGACAUGGCAUCGGCCUCGAUGAUGAUAGCCAGUGUAAGACCAUGUCUGGGACAUGGCAUCGGUAACUUAUCCCAUGUUCGAGGCUUAUAGAAUAUCCGGUAGUUUUCCGAAAGGUUCAACUUUAAAGGUUAUGAAAAUGACUUAAUAAGGAAAGUAUAAAAAUGUUUUGAGUGAUACAGGUACCUAUUUGGUAUGCAUGAGUAAUGAGUUCAAAUUAGAAAAUGUGAUUUGAGUAGACGGUAAUGAGUAAGUCAAUUUUAUGCUUACCUUUGAGCUAUGAGUAUGAUGACUAAUGGUAAAAUUGUUGUUGUAUAUUUAUUUAUAUGCAACUUACUAAGCUUUAUGCUUACUCUCUUUUCUUUCCCCUUUUCUUUCAUUGCCGCUUAAUUAGCUUAAGGAUUCUUUGAAGUCAGAGAUAUCGAUCACACUAUCAAUCGGAGCACUUGGUAUAGUAAAAAUCUUCUUUUAAGUAUGGCA